UCGUUUCUUCAGAGGACUGUCUUCUCAUCUCCCAUACCUUUCUCCAUCACUCAUAAUUAUAUAUUGAUUCGACCUAUAUUGAUUCGUCUGUUUGAUUCAAUUACAUCACCUCCACUUCAGUUUAAAUACAAUUUUCCAGUUUCAAAAUUUACAUUGACUCGGGAAUACUCAGCCGACGAAUAAUCAACCGGAGGUGACCAAGUACGCAGCUUUAAUAUAACCGCAGCUCCGAUUGCCAGCUCCACUUCUCCGGCAAAUUCUAGCACCGCAACACCGGUGAAAUCCCACAUUGUCUUGGAAAGCUUCGGGUUUUGGUCUCGGCCCUCUUAGCAAAGUUGUAUCUCGAUCUUGCCGUAAAGGUUUGUUCGAUUCAAUUAUAUCAAUCAGAUUUUUGGAACAGAUUGUUCUGAGUUUUAUUUUCUUAAAACAUAGAUGAUGUUUUAGUCAGAUCGAGAUGUUUACUAGAUGUAUAUAUACUCGGGAACAAACACUGUUGCAGAUUGAAAAUUGAAUCAUGUAAGCUAGCUGUUCAUCGGUCUUUUCUCUUGGAAGACCCACUGAAGAUCGAAAGUACUUUCAGAGUUUCAGUGAGGUUUUAGAAGUGAUGCUCCUGAAGGAUCGAGCCACUGGCUGUGCUCAUGUUUAUUUUUGUCCUCGACGAUCCCAGUUUUGCUGAGUCCUACACGUAAUUGAUGUUAAAUUGUAUGUUUUCAUCAAUUUUUUUUUUGAGCCAAUACUUCAUUACUUUAGUAUCAAUCUGCUUCUUUCAAUAGUUAGUUUUUUGGAACAGAGGUUACUGCUCCUCUAGGUAAAGCUAUAAAUUGUGUCAGUUGUGAAAGUUCUAAGUGGAGCUUCAGUUUCUGCCUUACAAUGCAUUCUUUAACAGUUUAACCUUCUGUAUUUCAAAAAAAAAAAAAAAAAAACAGUUUAACCAUCUCUACUUUAAUACUUCCUCCAUUUAUCAACAUGCACCUAAAUUUCACACGUCACAUGGAGUUAUGUCAGAUUAUGUUUCUCUCAAUUGUGCUGACCACUACUCAGCUUUGAGCUAGCCUCGGUAUGGACAUGGCUUAUCCCAAGGAAAAUAUAAAAAAGGCGGUGAUGGUCCAUCCCCACAAGAAUUUGGGGAGUGAGAGAGCAGCUGAAUCUUAUGAGAGAAUUCAGAACCCAUGAGAGUUUUACUAAACAUGUAAAUAGUGUGCUCAGAGGUGGCGUGGUGGUCCUGGCGGUGGUGGUGAAGACCGUUGCGGACAUGGUGAAGAAGAAGGAUGUCAAGGGAUCGAAAAGGAGGCGGAAUGAUUCAUCAACCAGUGACAUGGAGCGGAGACUCUGCAUUAAAUAUUUUGCGAAUGGACCCUGCGACUAUGCUAAUGAUCGCAGCAAUUGACAUGAAUCCGGUGGUAUUUGUGUCGCCAAAUUAAAUAGCGUCAGUGUUCCUCCUUUCUUCCAUUUUUCUUCUUUCUUUCCGUUUCAAGUUUUUCUUUUUUGCUUUGUAAAAUCAGUCGCUAGAUGCUACCGCCGCGAUCUAACAACGAACAGGGCUAUUAUAUUCAACUAGAGCUUAAACGUGUCUUUGGUAUCAUGAAAUUUCAGGAUUUGUUUUUUUUUGUUCGCAAGUUGUUUGAUCAUAGUUUAAAGAAGAUUUGAUGCUUGACAAUGCUUCCGGCUAUCCAGACCAAUGGUCUGCACUACGAAUCAAAUUCUGGAUUCA
Brassica oleracea var. oleracea is the source of this 1711-nucleotide long non-coding RNA. RefSeq lists it as uncharacterized. The transcript has 3 exons. The record is from RefSeq and is a predicted model, not a curated record. Lineage: Eukaryota; Viridiplantae; Streptophyta; Magnoliopsida; Brassicales; Brassicaceae.